Molecule: long non-coding RNA, 457 nt
Organism: Ctenopharyngodon idella (grass carp)
Lineage: Eukaryota; Metazoa; Chordata; Actinopteri; Cypriniformes; Xenocyprididae
Exons: 2
Source: RefSeq, a predicted model, not a curated record
CAGGUGCAACAUAAGAGAUUUAGGAAAAGAACUUGGAUUGGAGGCACCUGGUUGGGGAGACAGCAUCACCUCUCUCAGCUAUUGCUGAAAUAGAGUACAUCAGCUUCAGUUUGGACCCAGCCUCUUAAGAAGACCUCAGAUGACUAAAACUUUUGAAGAGACGGCGCCAACUCCUGCGAGGACUUCAGAAGAUGCAACAUCUGGAUCAACAAGCACAUUCGCAAAUUUCUAUAUAUCCUAAUUAUUGUUAAUAUGUAAUUCAUUUUUCCAGGAGCUCUUUGCUUCUACCUUCAAUUAAAUUGCUAACAGUGAUUGUAUAUUAAUUGCCUAAAUUAUUACAUUAUUAGCUAACUGCAUUCUCCAAAUUGUAAUGUUGACAUGCAUUCUCUGUAAAGCUGCUUUGAAACGAUAUGUAUUGUGAAAAGCGCUAUACAAAUAAAUGUGAAUUGAACUUUUA